RNAcentral lists this ribosomal RNA (372 nucleotides) under uncultured bacterium. RNAcentral's name for it is "bacterial SSU rRNA". It matches the Rfam family "Bacterial small subunit ribosomal RNA", at positions 527 to 896 of the family's 1533-position model. The record is from RNAcentral.
GUAGGGUGCGAGCGUUGUCCGGAAUUAUUGGGCGUAAAGGGCUCGUAGGCGGUUUGUCGCGUCGGGAGUGAAAUCCACUGGCUUAACUGGUGGCUUGCUUUCGAUACGGGCAGACUGGAGGUAUGCAGGGGAGAACGGAAUUCCUGGUGUAGCGGUGAAAUGCGCAGAUAUCAGGAGGAACAUCGGUGGCGAAGGCGGUUCUCUGGGCAUGUCCUGACGCUGAGGAGCGAAAGUGUGGGGAGCGAACAGGAUUAGAUACCCUGGUAGUCCACACCGUAAACGUUGGGCGCUAGGUGUGGGAUCCAUUCCACGGGUUCCGUGCCGCAGCUAACGCAUUAAGCGCCCCGCCUGGGGAGUACGGCCGCAAGGCUA